AUUGAACGCUGGCGGCAUGCCUAACACAUGCAAGUCGAACGGAGGUAGGGGCAACUCUACUUCAGUGGCGGACGGGUGAGGAAUGCGUCGGAAUCUACCCUAUGGUGGGGGAUAACACAGGGAAACUUGUGCUAAUACCGCAUAAUGUCGAGAGACCAAAGCAGGGGACCGCAAGGCCUUGCGCGAUAGGAUGAGCCGACGCCCGAUUAGCUAGUUGGUAGGGUAAAGGCCUACCAAGGCGACGAUCGGUAGCUGGUCUGAGAGGAUGAUCAGCCACACUGGGACUGAGACACGGCCCAGACUCCUACGGGAGGCAG
This 317-nucleotide ribosomal RNA is filed under the name uncultured Pseudomonadota bacterium. RNAcentral describes it as "bacterial SSU rRNA". It matches the Rfam family "Bacterial small subunit ribosomal RNA", at positions 30 to 351 of the family's 1533-position model. The record is from RNAcentral. Lineage: Bacteria; Pseudomonadati; Pseudomonadota.